GGUUUCGUGGUGUAGUUGGUUAUCACGUGAGUGUACAAUGCUGAAGGACUCCAGUUCGAUCCUGGACGAAACCA
Non-coding RNA from Hypoxylon sp. FL1150, 74 nucleotides. The record is from the annotation of a GenBank genome assembly. Lineage: Eukaryota; Fungi; Ascomycota; Sordariomycetes; Xylariales; Hypoxylaceae.